AACGUAGGACGCAAGCGUUAUCCGGAGUUACUGGGCGUAAAGCGCGGGCAGGCGGUCUUGCCAGUCUGAUGUGAAAUCUCCUCGCUCAACGGGGAGCAGCCAUUGGAAACUACAAGACUGGAGUCUGACAGAGGUAGGCGGAAUUCCGAGUGUAGAGGUGAAAUUCGUAGAUAUUCGGAGGAACACCAGUGGCGAAGGCGGCUCACUGGUCCGGUACUGACGCUGAGGUGCGAAAGCGUGGGGAGCAAACAGG
This 253-nucleotide ribosomal RNA is filed under the name uncultured bacterium. Its description in RNAcentral is "partial 16S ribosomal RNA". It matches the Rfam family "Bacterial small subunit ribosomal RNA", at positions 524 to 776 of the family's 1533-position model. The record is from RNAcentral.